This 417-nucleotide ribosomal RNA is filed under the name Rubellimicrobium thermophilum. RNAcentral describes it as "bacterial SSU rRNA". It matches the Rfam family "Bacterial small subunit ribosomal RNA", at positions 19 to 479 of the family's 1533-position model. Lineage: Bacteria; Pseudomonadati; Pseudomonadota; Alphaproteobacteria; Rhodobacterales; Roseobacteraceae. The record is from RNAcentral.
CUGGCUCAGAACGAACGCUGGCGGCAGGCUUAACACAUGCAAGUCGAGCGGGCGUCUUCAUGGCGUCAGCGGCGGACGGGUUAGUAACGCGUGGGAACGUGCCUUCUGCUUCGGGAUAGCCUUGGGAAACUGGGGGUAAUACCGGAUGUGCCCUGAGGGGGAAAGAUUUAUCGGCAGGAGAUCGGCCCGCGUUGGAUUAGGUAGUUGGUGGGGUAAAGGCCUACCAAGCCGACGAUCCAUAGCUGGUUUGAGAGGAUGAUCAGCAACACUGGGACUGAGACACGGCCCAGACUCCUACGGGAGGCAGCAGUGGGGAAUCUUGGACAAUGGGGGCAACCCUGAUCCAGCCAUGCCGCGUGGGUGAUGAAGGCCUUAGGGUCGUAAAGCCCUUUCGCCGGGGAAGAUAAUGACGGUACC